RNAcentral lists this ribosomal RNA (768 nucleotides) under uncultured archaeon. RNAcentral's name for it is "bacterial SSU rRNA". It matches the Rfam family "Archaeal small subunit ribosomal RNA", at positions 117 to 887 of the family's 1478-position model. The record is from RNAcentral.
AGGUCCGGCAUAAUCUCGGGAAACUGAGGAUAAUUCCGGAUAGCUCUUUUUGGCUGGAAUUGCAUUAAGAGUCAAAGUUCUUCGCCUAAGGAUGGGUCUGCGGCCUAUCAGGUAGUAGAGGGUGUAACGCACCUUCCAGCCGACAACGGGUACGGGUUGUGAGAGCAAGAGCCCGGAGAUGGAUUCUGAGACAUGAAUCCAGGCCCUACGGGGCGCAGCAGGCGCGAAAACUUUACAAUGCAGGAAACUGUGAUAAGGAAACACCGAGUGCCCGCAUCUAAUGCGGGCUGUCCAUAUACUCAAAAAGUAUGUGUUAGCAAGGGCCGGGCAAUACCGGUGCCAGCCGCCGCGGUAAUACCGGUGGCCCGAGUGGUAGCCGCUUUUAUUUGGUCUAAAGGGUCCGUAGCCGGUCCGGUCAGUCCAUUGGUAAAUCCGCGCGCCCAACGCGCGGUCUUCAGUGGAUACUUCCGGACUUGGGACCGGGAGAGGUAAGAGGUACUAUAGGGGUAGGAGUGAAAUCUUGUAAUCCUUAUGGGACCACCUGUGGCGAAGGCGUCUUACCAGAACGGGUCCGACGGUGAGGGACGAAAGCUGGGGGCACGAACCGGAUUAGAUACCCGGGUAGUCCCAGCCGUAAACUAUGCCCGCUGGGUGUCAGGCAUGGCGUGACUGUGUCUGGUGCCGUAGAGAAGUCGUGAAGCGGGCCACCUGGGAAGUACGGCCGCAAGGCUGAAACUUAAAGGAAUUGGCGGGGGAGCACUACAACGG